RNAcentral lists this small RNA (27 nucleotides) under Bombyx mori (domestic silkworm). RNAcentral describes it as "ovarian small RNA-8848". Lineage: Eukaryota; Metazoa; Arthropoda; Insecta; Lepidoptera; Bombycidae. The record is from RNAcentral.
UGGUGGAUGAGUGGCCAGCGCUACCGC